GGAGAUUUAGCUCAGUGGUAGAGCGCUUGCCUAGCAAGUGCAAGGCCCUGGGUUCAGUCCCCAGCUCCG
This 69-nucleotide transfer RNA is filed under the name Rattus norvegicus (Norway rat). It matches the Rfam family "tRNA". Rfam says of the family: Transfer RNA (tRNA) molecules are approximately 80 nucleotides in length. The record is from Rfam by way of RNAcentral. Lineage: Eukaryota; Metazoa; Chordata; Mammalia; Rodentia; Muridae.